RNAcentral lists this long non-coding RNA (1015 nucleotides) under Homo sapiens (human). RNAcentral's name for it is "non-protein coding lnc-TRMT11-1:6". The record is from RNAcentral. Lineage: Eukaryota; Metazoa; Chordata; Mammalia; Primates; Hominidae.
GUUCCAGAUGAGAUCUGAGUGGGGGCGUAGCCAAACCAUAUCACUCCAGGAGAUUCUUUUGGAUAUUAAUAUUAGGAAUAUCAGUAUUUCUCCUUAACAAAUAAUUUAAUAGUGAACAAUAUGAAACACGGAGGACAAUGCCGAGGUAUUGUUUCCCUCAGGGAUGCCUUCUCCAACUCCUGUAUGUGUCUCUGUGUUUAAUGCUCUCAAAGCACUUCUUAUUACCCAUAACCGCUGGAUAGCAUUGGACUGAAGCUUUCUUAAGCACAGGGCACAGUCCGAUUGUUUAAAAGUGUGUAGCAGCCUCCCUCCCCCACUUAUCUCUCUUCCCCCUGCUCCAGCCACGUGGUGCUUGCCUGCUUCCCCUUUGCCUUCCUCCAUGAUUGUAAGUUUCCUGAGGCCUCCCCAGUCAUGCUUCCUGUACAGCCUGUGGAACCAUGAGCCAAUUAAACCUCUUUUCUUUAUAAAUUAUGCAGUCUCAGGUAGAUCUUUAUAGUAAUGUGAGAAUGGACUGAUACAGGCUGCUGAGAAAUGGUAAUAUUGUAGUGAAGGUAAUUACCUCUAGCUGCUGCAACAGACAAAUCCCCAAGUUUCCCACUCAAAUAAAGUUUAUUUUUUGCUCAUGUGGGUCCAGUUUGUCCAUCCAUCUGGACCAUAGAUUCUCCAAGGUCAUGGUUGCAAAGGAGAGGGAAGGUGGAAAAGGCACAUGGCCUUUUAACUGCCUUAGCCCAGAAGUGACAUGUGUCACUGUGGUUCAGCAUAUUUGGCCAGAUCUAAUCACAGGGCCCCAAGGAACUGCAGGGGAGGCUGGGAAAUGUAUUUUAUGAGUAUGCAUAUGGUUAGUGAACAUUAACUGCUUCUGCCACUAUAUUUUUGUCAACUAGAAUUGUAUGCAUCCCCUUUUUCUACUUAGUGUGCUAUUAAGGUUAGUAGGUUGUGGGGGGUUGGGGGUGGGAGGUAGGGAGAAACAGGAUACAAGGAUAUGCAUAGUGAUGUCUUCUAUCUUUUCUAGUAG